Molecule: transfer RNA, 69 nt
Filed under: Candidatus Daviesbacteria bacterium
Lineage: Bacteria; Candidatus Daviesiibacteriota
Description: tRNA-OTHER
Rfam family: tRNA
About the family: Transfer RNA (tRNA) molecules are approximately 80 nucleotides in length. Their secondary structure includes four short double-helical elements and three loops (D, anti-codon, and T loops).
Source: RNAcentral
GGGCCUGCUGUUGGUACAGCUGCUGGACUCUCAAUUCGGCUAGCGGGGGUUCGAUUCCCCUCAGGUCCA